AUGUGUUACGUGUCUCCAACAUGACUCGGGGUGGCUUACCCGAGUAAGCAAAGGAUCUGCUGUGUCGCAAACCGGCCCGGAAAGGAAAUCCAGACAGUCUGCAUGUCUAGCUGCAAUAGAGAAAUGGACCUUAUGUGACGGAUAUCACUUUUGCAUAUGGAAGGAUGACAGCAUAGUUGAGGAGAUGGAACUGGGAAAUCGUGAGGGGAUGCCUGGCACCUGACCGCAUGACUGUUUGACACUGUCUCUAAAGAGCCACGUAUGAUGCCCACCAGACCUUUACGGUUACGGUACACUAAGUGCACACUGAACAGUUAUUCACAUCAAAGGAGACACCAGAGACCCUUUUGCCACAUAGAGCAGCACCGACAUCAAGCACCUUAUUUACAGCAGUGACGACAGGGGUUCAGUCUUUGAGGACACGUAUCACCAAUACCCUGCACUGCUUUGAACUGUGAACAGAUCUUUUAUUACGAACAUCUUCAUCAAGGUCAGGCAAACCUACUUGUAUUAUAAGGAACUGGUUUUUUGGGACAUUAUCAGAUCCCCCUUAUUUUGUAUCCAUAGACUAUCACAAUCCCUGUGCAAGGGACGUGGUGACGUUGGUUGCCGUUUUUGUACCUUUACUACAACAUUUAUUUAUUUUACCUAUUUAGGUAUUUUACAUGUAUCUGCACACUAUUUGAUUACUGAGGGAAGCUCUUUUUGUUCUUAGCUUGUUGUAAUUGUAGUGUAAGGUUAGGUGUUAGUGUAAGACAGGUUAGGUUUUAUUUUACAGGUAAGUUUGUAUUUAUUUUAACAAGGUAGUUAGUAAAUAGUUAAUAACUAUUUAUUAACUAUUCUACCUAGUUAAAAUAAAUACAAACUUAGCUGUGAAAUAAAAUUAAAACCUAAGCUAGCUACAAUGUAACUAUUAGUUAUAUUGUAGCUAGUUUAGGGUUUAUUUUAUAGAUAAGUAUUUAGUUUUAAAUAGGAAAUAUUUAGGUAUUAAUUGUAAUUUUUAUUUAGAUUUAUUUUAAUUAUGUUAAAUUUAGUGGGUGUUAGGGUUAGGGUUAGACUUAGGGUUAGGUUUAGGGGUUAAUAACUUUAGUAUAGUGGCGGCAAUUUUGGGGGCAGCAGAUUAGAGGUUAAUAAUAUUUAACUAGUGUUAGCGAUGCAGGAGUAUGGCAGUUUAGGGGUUAAUUUGUUUAUUAUAGAGGCGGCGAUGUCGGGAACAGCAGAUUAGGGGUUAAUAAUUUUAUUUUAGUGUUUGCGAUGCUGGAGGGCCUCGGUUUAGGGGUUAAUAGGUAGUUUAUGGGUGUUAGUGUACUUUUUAGCACUUUAGUUAUGAGUUUUAUGUUACGGCUUUGUAGCGUAAAACUCAUAACUACUGACUUUUAGUUUAGAGUACGGAUCUUGGCGGUAUAGGGUGUACUGCUCACUUUUUGGCUGGACAGGCAAACUCGUAUUACCGGCGCUAUGGAAGUCCCAUUGAAAAAGGACUUUUUGAAAGCUGCGGUAGUUACUUUGCGUUACGGCCAAAAAGACUCGUAAUACCAGCGGUAGUGAAAAUGCAGCAUUAUGAGGCUUUUUCAAUCAUAACACAAAACUUGUAAUCUAGCCGAUUGUCAGUUAAAGAGACAUCCCUUCCAAACUUGAAAUGCCCAUUAAGGCAUUUUAAUUUUGAUAGAAGCAAUUGUCCAAUACUACUUUAUUAGUUAAAAAACAAGCAAACAGUAAAAGCUAUCACUGUUGGGUGAUGUCUUGUUUCAAUAGAAGCAUUCUUGCUAAUUAAAAAAAAAAAUCCUCUGUUGAAAAUGUAAUAUUUUUUCUGGAAAGUCCUUGUAAGAAAGAAGGAGGGGUCUUCUGGUUAUAGGUUCUCAAAGCAUCUAGGGUUAGAUUUACUAACUGUUGUGUGGACAUGAUCUGCUAUAGCGAAUAAUGACAGCUCAACAUCGCUAAAUGCCGACAGCAUACACUGUCGGCAUUUAUCAUUGCACAAGAAUUUCUAGUGAAAUGCUUAUGCAAUGCCACCCCACCACGCUCACUGCUGGCCAAUCGGUCACUAGCAGGGGCUGUCACUCAUUCCGAUCGUAUCUGGAUGAUUUCAAUCUGCCACCUAAAAGGUGACUGCUGCUUCUUAACUUCCGUUUCAGGCGAGCCUGAAACGAUGGGCCUCCGAAAAAGCAUCCGCUUCUUAAUAAAUGGAGCUCAUAGCCUCUAACUUAUGUCAGUAAUAAGUGUUCUUACUGUUUAUCAUAUUACAACCUAAUAAAUAUAUUGGUGCAUAUGGAAUACAA
Molecule: long non-coding RNA, 2279 nt
Organism: Bombina bombina (fire-bellied toad)
Lineage: Eukaryota; Metazoa; Chordata; Amphibia; Anura; Bombinatoridae
Exons: 3
Source: RefSeq, a predicted model, not a curated record